UGAACACAUGAGUGAGUGGAGCAGAGAGCAGAGAUGGCAACAUAGCACACUAAGAAACACAAAAUGAAGUUGUGGAGUGAGUUGGAAGAGAACAAAAGAGGAAUCUGAAGGGUCAGUUCCGGCGGCCAGAGGCACCCCUGAGGUCGAGCAGAGCGAGAAUUUGUAUUUUCUCGAUUAUUGUGCAUGGGAGCGCCUCAGUGUGUAAGCGUUUGUUAUAAGAUGCAGAAAUAUUAUGGUUCUAUAGAGCCUUUUUGAAAGACUAAUAGCUCAUAGAGCUUUAUUGAGUGACUAGUAAACUAAAGGGAGGAAGAAGAUUAAAUUGGCUGAACGAAUUAAAAGACAAUAUUGUAUUUCAUCCAAAAUGAGAAAGGAAGAGGCUACAACUGUGCAGCCAAAGUUACAAAGUUAAAUGCAUAACAUCACUACUUAUAGGAAGCUACUUGUGAGGAGAACCCUAAACACAUGGGCUUAAAACAUUAUAUUGGCCUUGAUGACUUUGCUUUGGGCUUGUCUAUAAUACCAUUACUGUACCACUUCAAAAAGUUAAAGCAAACUGAAAUACAAACGUGAUAAAAUAAUUAUGUUCAGCUGAGAACCACAACUAUAUAGUGCUUUACAUUAGUUUAUGUGCCUAUCACAGAUGAAACGCCAUUUCAUGGGAAAUCUCUCCCUCACGACCAAAGGAAAAACAGAUCUGGGAAGCCAAGCGCACACCGCCGGUUACCCCCUUUCCAGUGUUCCUCGUCUCCUUCUUAUGUAUCUUCUGUUCUCCAUUCCUCUCACUUCGUCUCUGAUUGGUAUGCUCGUUGUUCUAGGUUUGUCUCAGACUCCUGUGAGUUUCCUUAGCGGUGGCUCCGUUUGGAUAGCGUCGGUCUCCUCUGAGUGACGGCGAUGCUGGUUUUGUGGGGUUAGAGCUGUUGGGUUUUGUUCAUGAGUGAUGACGGCUAGGGUUUCCGCUGGUCAGAUCUUUGUUUCCGGGAGUGAGAGCAGGCGUAUCUCACUAAUCUACGACAUCUAACUCAGAUUUCAGUCGGGUCUUUAUCAUUUUGCUAUAUCCGGGUCAGUUCCUUGGAGGUGUUGAUGAGUUAGGCCACUGCAUGCAUCUCUCUAUUUAGAUCUACCAGUUGGUGUGGUUUUAGCCAUUGGUUUAAGGCUCUGGUAGGGAGUAGAGAGAAUGGGUCGCGGUCUUAUCAACUUUGAUCAUCAUUCCUCAGUGGCAGCGUGUUUCAGCUCUCGUGUCAUUGGAGUUUUUGCGGUAGGUUGUUAUUCACCUAUUUGGGCUUUAUGAGAUGCUGGAUGGAAGCAUAUCCUCUUUUUGAAUUCUCAUUGGUGUGGUGAGCGUAGUCAUCAUCCUCUGAAAAAAUAAAAGCUUUAGUAACUAGCCAAGACAGAGGAGAUUUCUAGGUAGUAGGUUUGGUCGGUGGGGAAAAAAUUGAACAAUUGUCUUGAUCUGAAUCCUGUGGUGGAUUUCCUCGGGGGAUUAUGCUCAGACCGGUCUGACUUUUUAUUUUGGGUUUUAAUAGAAAUGACAAUGCCUAACUAGUAGCAGAAAUGCAGUCUGGUUAAUGCAGAUCGCAGAAACUUUGACUCCAUUUGACUCAACCAGUAAUGACAGAAAUGACAAAGCCUAACUAGUAGCAGAAAUGACAAAGCCUAACUAGUAGCAGAAAUGACAAAGCCUAACUACUAGUUAAGCUUUCUCUCUCUCCUCUCUCCCAAGCGACCAAGCGAACAAGUAAACAACAAAUCUCCGCCACGUUUUGCUCCGGCGUACGGAGGCUUCGGACCCGCGUCCGGUGCACGUUAACUCCAACGCCGGAGGCUUGUCUCUAAUCCUUCUUCUACGAUUUCCCCUUUGUUCUUCCGUCGCUUCUUCAUCCCUUUCGCUUUGCUUGUGUUUUGUGUGUCUGAAGCUUUCCUGGAGGCAACUUCGCUGCAGAGAAGAUACGUGCUGGUGCGAGUCCUUUAGGCAUGAAGCUACGGCGCGUUGGGGUCUGGCGGUGCAGGCGGAGGAGUCGGCGUUUAGGGUUAUGGAGGUGAUACCUUUAGCUACUUCCAGAUUUGGUCGCCCGUGGAGGCGUACGGCUGGUUACUUUCUCAGAUCUGGUUCUCGAUCUACUCGAUUUGAGAUCCAUUGGUCUGAGGCGUAGCGGCGGUGAUGGAGGUUCCGUGCUCUACCCUCGGCGUCUUGGUUAGGGUAGGUUCUUCUUCGUCUCCGCCAUAGGUGUUUUGGAGCUCCGUUUAGCUCGAUUGCGGGUUUUAUCCAAAGGUGGUGGUGUGUGCCUCUACUUGCAGUGGUGGCUCGUGGAAAAACCUUUAGCGUGAUUUUGGUAUUGGUCGUCUAUGGCCGUACUGAUGCGUUGUUGUUACCUCCCUCCUAUCUGGCCUCUCUUCCCGGCGUGUGUUCUGGUCCGUCCUUGAACCUGUGUCGACUGGUUUCUAUGGAUCUCUACUCGUGUUUGUAGUGUUAUGAUUGCUCUGUAGCUACCGGAAGUAUUCUUGACGUUUGUAACCUUUCGUCCUUAGGUGCUCCAAGGCGACGGUUGGUGACGGUCGUGAAGUUCUUGCUUGGUCAAUAGGUCUUCAUGGUUCCGUCGGUGGCUCCAUCCGGUGCUGUGCACAUCCCAGUGCCUUGGCCUCCUCUUUGAUGCCAUGGUAGUGUUAGCGGCUCUUGCUUUCUUUCAGGUCUCCGAGCAGGUUCUGGUUCAUGCGCUGCGGCCAUCUCGUUCCUGACUUCUUGUUUUUCCGUUCUUGGUAUGGAGAUCUCUGUAUCUCUUGGCCUUGACCGGGUUGGCGCUGAUGAAGUUUGUAUAGCGGGAAUUGGAUCCAUUUUCAGGUUUGUGCUCUAAUUCCCUUCUUCGUUAGCGUUUGCGCGUAAGAAGGUAACGGUUAUAAGUUUCGAGGAGAUCAUCGAGACCUAGCUACUCCAAAAGGCGACACGGAAACUCCUGGCAUCCGAGGCAACGAGGAGAACCUCACUUUCUCUUGAUUAUCGUUGAUGGAAGAGAACAGGAAUCGAUUUCUAAUGUUUACUAAAAGCAUAUUAGCGGAACGUGUCGGGUUUAGUGGGUGGGCGAAGCUAGUUUGUAAUUCGUUAGACUAGGAAACUUUUGUUUGAAUCGAGUUUGUAACCGAAACUUAUUCCCGUUUUUCGGGCUGAUUUAUAAUAUAUGUUAUUUGAAAAAAAAAAUGGUAAUUAAUUUUAACAUGUUUACCGAAUAAAGAAAUUCAUUUCAUGAUGCACCGUAAUGUCUUAAAGCCACUCCAGUAGUAAACUUUGACUCAGCCAGUAAUGCAGUCUGGUUAAUUAUAAAAACGUAUCGUUCUUUUCCUGUUUGCUUCGCAGCUUCGAGAGCUCAUGGUGGUAACUGUCCUUGAGGAAUCACACCUAACAUAUACACACAAGAAUUAAAAACCUACAAGUAACGGUGAGAUUAAUUUUGUCAAAGAAAAAAAACGUUGGUGAGAUUAAUGAAAUAAAAUUUUAAAAUCAUAGUUAAAUUAAUUUUAAAUAAAUAUAUUAAUUGUAUAAUCAGAGAGAUUUAAUUGGGUUAACACUACAAAAAAAGGAAUGGUAGGGAAUGAAAAGGAAAAAUUAUUCCUUUUUUAAGAAUUGUUAGGGAAUGCAUUUGUUCCUCGUUGUUCCUUGGUCACUAUUCAUACCCUAAUAUUAUUACUAAGUGGACAACAUGCCUAAAAUGAUUUUAAGGGGACUGUAGAUAAUUUUUUUUAAUUUAAUAUCAGCAAAAUUCCGUAUUUAUUUUAUUAUCUAUUUAUUUUAAAUUCUUGUUCUAUUUUUACUGUUUAGAUCGGUUUAUGCGGUACCGUUCAUUAGGAUCCAAGGACACCAAAUCAGUUUGAUUCAGUUUAGUUACUUUGAUGUUCAAAAUGUUAAUAUUUUUAAAAAAUCUAUAAAAAAAAUUUUAGUUUGUAAGGUAAAUAUGUUGUGAAAGAAAAAAAGGGUAUGAAAAACUUAGUAAAUCUAUCAUAAUAAGGCACACAUGUGCGGGAUAAAUUUCACUAGGAAAAAAAUAUAUAUUAUAAAACCAGGGCGGAUCUGCGCGUGUAUUGGUUUUUAUGAAAGAUAUAAUUUUGUGUAAAUUUUCAUUAGGUUUAGUUGGUUGUGGGGGUGAUUAUUUUAAGCGAUUAGUGUUGUAUACACCAAAUUACAAUUAUAUAAUAAAAGUGACAUGAGAGCAUUCUCAGUAUUGUUGUUGAUUUGAUUCACAGUUGCAAAAUUUUAUAUUUUUAUAAUACUCAUAACACUUUUCUACAGUUAAACCUUGAGCAUUAUAAGUUAAAUCAAACGAAAUCGAUCAAAAGAUGAUGAGAUUUUUUUUUUUUGAAUGAAUGUAAAAUAUUAUUCAAUCAAACUGUACUACAUCAAGUGCUACUGCUUUAUUUUUUGUACAAAAAAUCAAAAAAAUGGAGACUUGAUUCAAACUACCAGUCUCAUCUAGACCCAAUCCAAACCAUCAAACUCUCUUCAAAAUGUUUGUGCCCUGUUCCUUUGACUGAAAGGAGCUUGAGCCUGACUGUCUUGUCGAUAAACUGGACCAAAUGAGCUGCAUCAUGUGGCUGUUUGCCAUGCCUAUGCAAGUUUCUCUCUCUCCAUAUCGCAUGAAGAGUUGCUUGGAGAGUGUAGCGGAUGAGGAAUGUCAUUGUUGGAUUAAGCCAAGGUUUGGAAAUAAUUUCAACUAGCUCAUUCCAAUCUGCAGUGUAUCCCUCCUGCAUCAUUCCUCCUACUAGCUUCUUCCACACCUGUUCUGAGUAGUGGCACUUGAAAAAGAGGUGAGAGCAUGAUUCCUGAGUGUCGUUACAGAGGACACAUGUGGUGUUGAGUCCCGUUAUCCAAAGUUGCAUUUGAUCCAGAGUUUGGAGUCUACCACGCAAUGCAAGCCAAAGAAAGAAGGAGUAUUUUGGAGUUGAUUGGGGAAACCAAACUCCUUUUGCUCCAGGUACAGGUUUGGGAGUUGCCUCGGAUCUGUUCCCAGGUUCUCUUUGAGGAGAAUUUGGUUACAAAUUUGUCAUCGGCUUGUCUCCACAAAGAUAAUGAGAUUAAGUUUUCAAAUACCAUUGUAUUUGCUUUUUUACGAGGGUAUUUAAUAUAGUGGAGAAUGAGGUUUUAAUUUAGAGGAAUUAUUUGUCAAAGAUAUUAUAUAGUUGCAUUUGGAAAAUGUUAGUAAUUGCUAUUAUUAACAACUAUUGUUUUUUUUUGGUAUUUAUGUUACAUUUGAGGGUUUUUAUUUUGCUUUAUGUUACGGUGCCAUUAUAAUGGGUUAUUAUCGUUACUGAAUGUAUUGUUACAUAACUAAUUACUACGUUGAUUAGUUGACUAAAGAUUCAUAAUUAUUUUUUUCCUU
Long non-coding RNA from Brassica napus (rape), 5363 nucleotides. RefSeq lists it as uncharacterized. The transcript is spliced from 2 exons. The record is from RefSeq and is a predicted model, not a curated record. NCBI's taxonomy places the organism in Eukaryota, Viridiplantae, Streptophyta, Magnoliopsida, Brassicales, Brassicaceae.